RNAcentral lists this ribosomal RNA (460 nucleotides) under uncultured bacterium. RNAcentral describes it as "partial 16S ribosomal RNA". It matches the Rfam family "Bacterial small subunit ribosomal RNA", at positions 338 to 795 of the family's 1533-position model. The record is from RNAcentral.
CCUACGGGAGGCAGCAGUGAGGAAUAUUGGUCAAUGGGCGCUAGCCUGAACCAGCCAAGUAGCGUGAAGGAUGACUGCCCUAUGGGUUGUAAACUUCUUUUAUAUGGGAAUAAAGUGCAGUAUGUAUACUGCUUUGCAUGUACCUUAUGAAUAAGGAUCGGCUAACUCCGUGCCAGCAGCCGCGGUAAUACGGAGGAUCCGAGCGUUAUCCGGAUUUAUUGGGUUUAAAGGGAGCGUAGGCGGGUUGUUAAGUCAGUUGUGAAAGUUUGCGGCUCAACCGUAAAAUUGCAGUUGAUACUGGCAGCCUUGAGUACAGUAGAGGUAGGCGGAAUUCGUGGUGUAGCGGUGAAAUGCUUAGAUAUCACGAAGAACUCCGAUUGCGAAGGCAGCCUGCUAGACUGUAACUGACGCUGAUGCUCGAAAGUGUGGGUAUCAAACAGGAUUAGAUACCCUGGUAGUC